CCAGACUCCUACGGGAGGCAGCAGUGGGGAAUAUUGCACAAUGGGCGCAAGCCUGAUGCAGCCAUGCCGCGUGUGUGAAGAAGGCCUUCGGGUUGUAAAGCACUUUCAGUCGUGAGGAAGGUGGUAGUGUUAAUAGCACUAUCAUUUGACGUUAGCGACAGAAGAAGCACCGGCUAACUCCGUGCCAGCAGCCGCGGUAAUACGGAGGGUGCGAGCGUUAAUCGGAAUUACUGGGCGUAAAGCGCAUGCAGGUGGUUUGUUAAGU
Molecule: ribosomal RNA, 265 nt
Filed under: Vibrio alginolyticus
Lineage: Bacteria; Pseudomonadati; Pseudomonadota; Gammaproteobacteria; Vibrionales; Vibrionaceae
Description: partial 16S ribosomal RNA
Rfam family: Bacterial small subunit ribosomal RNA
Source: RNAcentral